Molecule: ribosomal RNA, 467 nt
Filed under: Belvosia sp. Woodley04A/Woodley04C
Lineage: Eukaryota; Metazoa; Arthropoda; Insecta; Diptera; Tachinidae
Description: partial ribosomal RNA
Source: RNAcentral
UCCUUACAGUUAUAAACAAAAACACAAUAUAUAAAAUACUUAUAUUGUAAAAUUAUGGCAAAAGCCAAAAAGAAACAAAAUAACAAUAAUAAAAUGUUUAUUAUUGUAUAUCGCCUCCUAGGCAAAAAGUAUAUAUACAAUACUUCUUAUAUUGUAAAAUUAUGGCAAAAAGAAACAAAAUAACAAUAAUAAAAUGUUUAUUAUUGUAUCGCCUCCUAGGCAAAAAAGUAUAUAUAAAAUACUUAUAUUGUAAAAUUAUGGCAAAUGGCAAAAAGAAACAAAAUAAAUUUGAAAUACAUAAAAUUAUAGUUGUACUUGUAUAAAAUUGAAAAGUAAUUUUAUAAAGUCAAUCAUUGUUCUUUUUUUAAGAACUUGAGACAUUCGCAACAAAAAUUUUAUGUUUUAAUUAUAAAAGAGAAUAAUAAUAAGCAAAAAUUAUUGAAGGAAUUGAUAUAUGCCAAUUUGAA